Non-coding RNA from Sus scrofa (pig), 1104 nucleotides. The record is from RefSeq and is a predicted model, not a curated record. Lineage: Eukaryota; Metazoa; Chordata; Mammalia; Artiodactyla; Suidae.
GUCCGCUGGCUCCACUCAGCUGGGUGUUGCUCCAGGACCUUGCUUUAGACAUGUAAGCUUCCCCCAUCCAGUAAGCCACUGUUGUGUCUGUUGCUGACUCUGAGCCCUUCAGUCUUGAAGCUGGGCACCUCCUCUUCUCCUGGGACACCUUCACCAACCCCUACUUUGAACCUCUCAAUCAAGCUGAUAAAAGUUACUUCAGCUGCUUCCAACCUCUCCUGCUAAGUGGGCCCUUAGAUGCUUCAGGAAAGUACUCAGACUUUCCAGGCAGACAAGAAAGGAGGAUGUGGCACGUCCCUCAAGGCCACCAAGCUCUGCGCCAAGGCCCACCCCACCUCAGUGAUGAAGGCUAUGACCUGUCAGCUGCUCUGAAAGCCUGACUCCAGGCUGGCACUUGACCUUACAGUGGUGAAUAGUGAGACUCAGUCUUUAAGGAUCAAAUAUUCACAGAAGGUGAAAACAGGUGUCAGUGACUUCAAAGGAGACCACGGACCUGAGGCAAAGAGCCCAGCAGGUACCAUUGGCUUGGUAUGAUUCCAAAGACUCAGAAGUGUCAGUGGACCAGCAGCAAUGUGGCUGGAAGUGAUCUCUACUCUGAUACAUGGUAGCCGAGGGACUUGGAGUAAACUCUGUCCCCAAGUCUCAGUUUCCUCACCUAAAAAACAUCUCCCUUGCAGGGCUGCUAUAGGGAUGAAAUAACAUCGAACAGGAUUUCAGUGCUUAUUUUGUGCCAGGCAUAACUCCAAGCAUCUGCAUCCAUUAAGUCAUUUAAUCCUCUCAACAAACCUCUGAAACAAGUAGUAUUAUGAUCCCCAUUCUGCACUGGAAGGAAAUGAGAAACAAAAGGGUAAGUAGAUAGCCCAAGGUCACCCAGAUAACUGAUAAUUACUCACAAAGCCACUUAGCACUGUGGAGCAGUGACUCUAAAUUGUUCACAUCAAUAGAGGAGACCAGCUUGAAGGGGGUGACGUGGUGAUGACAUUGGUGACAUCCCUCAGUCUAGGAUAAGAAAGGGCAGUUGGGCAAAGAUCACCCCCUGUCGUAGCACAGGGUAAUCUACUCAGUACUGUGUAAUAACUUGUAUGGGAAAAGAACCUCAAAAGG